Molecule: long non-coding RNA, 89 nt
Organism: Rhagoletis zephyria (snowberry fruit fly)
Lineage: Eukaryota; Metazoa; Arthropoda; Insecta; Diptera; Tephritidae
Source: RefSeq, a predicted model, not a curated record
CGAAAUCUGUUGAGAACGCGCACCGGUUUUCUUCAACGCCAUGCCCAAGAUCUUGCAUGCGAUUGGGCGAAUUUUCGCCUUUCGGUUUG